This 585-nucleotide ribosomal RNA is filed under the name uncultured bacterium. RNAcentral's name for it is "bacterial SSU rRNA". It matches the Rfam family "Bacterial small subunit ribosomal RNA", at positions 338 to 916 of the family's 1533-position model. The record is from RNAcentral.
CCUACGGGAGGCAGCAGUGGGGAAUUUUGGACAAUGGGGGCAACCCUGAUCCAGCAAUGCCGCGUGAGUGAAGAAGGCCUUCGGGUUGUAAAGCUCUUUUGUCAGGGAAGAAAAGGCUGUGGCUAAUAUCUACGGCUCAUGACGGUACCUGAAGAAUAAGCACCGGCUAACUACGUGCCAGCAGCCGCGGUAAUACGUAGGGUGCAAGCGUUAAUCGGAAUUACUGGGCGUAAAGCGUGCGCAGGCGGUUUUGUAAGACUGUCGUGAAAUCCCCGGGCUCAACCUGGGAAUGGCGAUGGUGACUGCAAGGCUAGAGUUUGGCAGAGGGGGGUAGAAUUCCACGUGUAGCAGUGAAAUGCGUAGAUAUGUGGAGGAACACCGAUGGCGAAGGCAGCCCCCUGGGUCAAAACUGACGCUCAUGCACGAAAGCGUGGGGAGCAAACAGGAUUAGAUACCCUGGUAGUCCACGCCCUAAACGAUGUCUACUAGUUGUCGGGUCUUAAUUGACUUGGUAACGCAGCUAACGCGUGAAGUAGACCGCCUGGGGAGUACGGUCGCAAGAUUAAAACUCAAAGGAAUUGACGG